AAAACAAAAUCCACUAUCAUAUUAUAUCAUAUAUUACCAAUAAUCAAAUAGCAUUACUUUUCACGGUUAUAUGUUUACGAACUAAAGAUAUCCUUCACCUUAUAACUAGCCAAAAACAUCAAAUACUUGUAGGACAAAUUGCAUCAAUAUCAAUUCUUCUCUAGUAAUGUAUGACUAAUUAACCAUUAUACAAUAAGUAUAAAUAGUUAGUGCAACGGACAAAU
This 224-nucleotide unclassified non-coding RNA is filed under the name Hevea brasiliensis (rubber tree). Lineage: Eukaryota; Viridiplantae; Streptophyta; Magnoliopsida; Malpighiales; Euphorbiaceae. The record is from RNAcentral.